RNAcentral lists this ribosomal RNA (424 nucleotides) under uncultured bacterium. RNAcentral describes it as "bacterial SSU rRNA". It matches the Rfam family "Bacterial small subunit ribosomal RNA", at positions 358 to 773 of the family's 1533-position model. The record is from RNAcentral.
GGAAUUUUGCGCAAUGGAGGAAACUCUGACGCAGCGACGCCGUGUGAGCGAUGAAGGCCUUCGGGUCGUAAAGCUCUGUCAGACGGGAAGAAAAUAUUUAUGGCUAAUAUCCAUAGAUAUUGACGGUACCUUCGGAGGAAGCACCGGCUAACUACGUGCCAGCAGCCGCGGUAAUACGUAGGGUGCAAGCGUUGUUCGGAAUCAUUGGGCGUAAAGCGCGUGUAGGUGGUUAUGCAAGUCAGGUGUGAAAGCCCUCGGCUCAACCGGGGAAGUGCACUUGAAACUAUGUAGCUAGAGGAUGGUAGAGGGAGAUGGAAUUCCUAGUGUAGAGGUGAAAUUCGUAGAUAUUAGGAGGAAUACCAGCGGCGAAGGCGGUCUCCUGGGCCAUUCCUGACACUGAGACGCGAAAGCGUGGGUAGCAAAC